UGGUGUAAAAUCUUUGUUGGAGGAUGAAGCCAUAAGAGUAGGUGGUGCGAAUCACAGUCAUGCCACACAAGAUCUUUAUGACUCGAUUGCAGCCGGAAACUACCCUGAAUGGAAACUGUUCAUUCAAAUAAUGGAUCCUCUUCAUGAGGAUAGGUUUGAUUUUGACCCACUUGAUGUAACCAAGACAUGGCCAGAGGACAUCUUCCCAUUGCAGCCGGUGGGUCGAAUGGUGUUAAACAAGAACAUCGAUAACUUCUUUGCUGAGAACGAGCAAUUAGCCUUCUGCCCUUCCCUCAUUGUCCCUGGCAUCUAUUAUUCAGAUGAUAAGUUGCUUCAAACUAGAAUCUUCUCCUAUUCUGACACUCAAAGGCACCGUCUUGGACCGAAUUAUCUGCAGCUUCCAGCUAAUGCUCCCAAAUGUGCUCAUCACAAUAAUCACCAUGAAGGUUUUAUGAAUUUUAUGCAUAGAGAUG
RNAcentral lists this long non-coding RNA (473 nucleotides) under Gossypium barbadense (sea-island cotton). RNAcentral's name for it is "long non-coding RNA (GBAR_LNC001838)". Lineage: Eukaryota; Viridiplantae; Streptophyta; Magnoliopsida; Malvales; Malvaceae. The record is from RNAcentral.